Long non-coding RNA from Canis lupus familiaris (dog), 4048 nucleotides. RefSeq lists it as uncharacterized. NCBI's taxonomy places the organism in Eukaryota, Metazoa, Chordata, Mammalia, Carnivora, Canidae. The record is from RefSeq and is a predicted model, not a curated record. The transcript has 5 exons.
UUUCCUUGAAACAAAUCUCUCUCUCUCCAUAGACACACACCUCCUAUUGGUUCUGUUUCUUCGGAGAACCCCGACUGAGAUAGCAUGUGUUGGAGAAAAAGGAAAGACACACACCCUGUCUGGAGCUCCUCCCCUCUCUCUGUCCAGAAUCCAGAGUUUUCUAGAAUAGUGAUCAGCCUGAGAGUGGAUCCGGUGAAUGUGACCCUACCUGACCUCCUGCCCGAUGCCGUGAGCUCACCACUCUGACCGAUAAACUUGCAGGAGAGGUUACAGGGGGAAGGAGAAGGAAGGCAAGUUCCAGGAUGCUGGUGACCAAGGGGGAAAUCUGGAGGAAAUGGCAGUGCCACACAAUUAGGAAGCCUCAUUGGCAUGUGAUUCUUGGAUGAGAAAACAUUGUGUCAGUGUUAAUGGCGGAAGGGGUCCAGGAAGAGAGAAAAGCAUAAAAGAAGACACCGGAAUAUGAGAAUGCUGGCUGGGUUGGAGAGGUUUUUUACAAGUCAUACCUGCAGGAUUAAAAUUGGAGAGGAAAAUCAGGACGGGUAGGGACCGCUUCCUCUGAGCUUGUGGAGCAGCACUUACUACUGGAAAUGCAGAAACAGAACUCGACAUACCAACCUGUUUUCCUCUCAACAUGUUUUUAUGGAGAAGCAGUACCGGAAACUUUUCAGGAGUCCUGCUCUGGCUAGCCGGCAUCAGCCGCGGGUGAUUACGCGGCAGCUGAAGGGGAGACCCGUGCAGGAGGUGGCCAAAGGCCUUUCAGCUUUCACCUGGCUGGCAUUCCCAGCUGUCCCCGCCCUGCUGUUCUUCUGGGCACAAACAGACCUCGCAAGCAUGGUCCAUGGUCUCCCCUGCAGACCUGGCCCCACUCAAGAGAGCAGAGUUCGAAAGCAGAAGGGAAGAGAAUUUACAGUGGCUGGGGGAAGCUUUUAAAGGAUACCCUUACUGUGUCAAAAAAAAAAAAUAUGCAGAGGGAGCCCAUAUUUAAGAUUGGCUACGUGUCCUUAUAAUUAUUGAAAAACAUGAUUUUUUUCCCUCUAAAUAGAAGGGAUUUACCAUUUAUAUGAAAUAACCUCAUUUAAUAGGUUUUUCUUUUGGUUUAACAAAAGUAAUAAGUUACUGACCAAGAAGAAAUAUCUGAGCAAAAAAUGCAUUGGGUAACAUUAAAAAAUGAAAAUUGCAGAGAUAGACUAAGUUACCUUCAAUAAUAACUAAAAUGUCAUUGUUGGGGUAUUACUAUGAAGCUAUGGAAAAUAAUGUAAUAGUAAUGUGUAAAUACAGAAAGAAAAAAAAACCUUGGGGGGAAUAAAGGCCUGUUUGCAAUAAGGAAAUAGCUCACCCCACGUGCAUGCGUGUGUAAUACCUGAAGGUUGCUGCUGGUCAAGGCCGGCAGUACAGGGUGGGGGUUGACAAAAUGACUCUAGGAUCCUCACAUUUGGGUUCUAAGCCCAGCCUCACCUCUUGCGAGCUGAUGGGUCUCGGACAAGUUACUUAACUUCUCCAUGUCUCUCUCUCGUGUGUGUGUGUCUGUGUGUGUGUGUGUAAAAAUGAGGUAAAAUACUGUUGUGCGAGGUUUAACCAAGGUGACGCAGUGAGCGGAUGUCUGGCUGUUAACUAGAGCUUGAUAGCAGCUGAAAGGAUGUCUACUGCACUAAUUGGAAUGAUGUGUUUAUUUUUAUAAUAAUGGAAAAUUAAGAGAAUUUCUGUCUAAAUGUUAAAUUUAAAAAUAAAAGCAUUUAUCAUAAACAUAGACCUAUUUUCCAGGCUAAGUUGAACUCAGCCCAAGCCCUUACAGGCAUCUAGGAAAUUUCCAGGCAGUGUUGUCUCAGGCUACCAUUCUGGACUUCAGAGCCAUGGCAAGGCUUGGAGUGAAAGCUUGCCACUUUGAUUUGCCUCCUUCAGUUCAAAUAGCAAAAGCUUUUAGUUAACAGCUUAUUUUAAUUACUCUUGCCAGAAUCUUAUUUGUUCGGAAAUUCAAUCAUUUCAAAAAAAAACACCCGAAUCCCUCAGUCUUUCUGCUUCUGCCAGGAGAGUAAGCAUCCAUUUACCACCACCACCAACCCCUGUCUCCUGGAAGCCCUGAAAAUAAAGGCCUGGUGUUGAUCAAGCUGAGGUCCUUUUCCAAUCAAAAGCAAGACACUUGUGUCAACUAAGCAGCUGUUUCCCAUUCAGCUUUCUUUUUCCUCCUUAUCACAGAAUGAAAUGCUGAAUAAUUAUUUCACGGAUGUCCAAUCUUGCCUCCCCGGUAGAUUGUAAUUUCUUUCGUCUUGAACUCCAGAGUGUCCAACUUUGUCGUAGGCACAUGGUAAAUACUUAAUGAAACCCUCUUCCUUAUUUAUUAGCAUCUGCGAAAAGCUUAGACUAAUUUUAUACUUACGAAGAAACAAAAACUAUAGAUUCAAGGGAUGAAAUGUGAUGAGCGAGACACACACAUUCACCAAGCAACAUACAAUUUAAAAAUGUCUAUAUUUUUAAAAACCCUGAAUGCAAAAUGAAGGCUCAUUCUACUAUUCUAGGACAGGCAAUGUCUUUGAAAGCUUGGUUGCCUACUUCCAUGAAGCCACAAUCAAAUCUUGCUACGCACCAAUCAUCAGAGUGUGCUAAAGUGCAAAAUCUUCGUUACCUUGACAUUUCAUUUAGCUUCUGCUGAAUACUCAGUCAAUUCUUCCAAAUUCAGAAAAAUGUUCCUCAGCAUUUACCUUGUCAUUUUGAUGAUGCCAUACAUCCCACAAUCAAACAGAAAUUGUCAGGGCUCCUUUUCUUUUAUAGGAAUUCAACUAUGCCUUUGUAAACCUGAAUUACUUGCAUUGAUUGGUGAAAAUGAUUUAUUAUUUUUUUCACACUUCUAUAUUGCUCAGGGAGAGGAAGAUGUAAUUACUCAGUUUACGUAUACACAACACAACACUGUUUUUAAAACUUUUACACUUAGAGUGUAGAUUUGGGGUUGACACCCCCUGCAACAAGGAAAAUGCAGUCUCUGAGAUUUGAGGCAAUUCACAGAGUCACGGUGAAAUCAGAAUGGACUUCUUAUUGGAGAGAGUGGCAGAAAAUUGCCAGCAUGACUGGCACUUCUGGAUUCAAGAAUAACAGAUAAUUUCUGGUAUCUGAAGCCUGUGAUCUACAGACACGGAUGGCUACCAAAUCCACCACUCUAGCUAGGCCUCUCUUUUGAAUUCUGGUCUAUUUGUUGGAGGUUUAUACCAAAUGGCCUGCUGUCCCUUCAACCUCCGACUCUCUAAAGUUGUGCUCCUAAUCGUUCCUUUCAAUACUGGUUACUUUGUUCAUCUGUCCUCUUCCUAACAAAGUCGCCAUGAUUUCCCCAGACACUGAGAUGCUAGGGGUGACAUUUAAAUUUUCCUGGUCAUGGAGCAACCCUUGGAUUUUGUGAUUCUUCUUUGGGACUGCCUUUCAUACCUAACUCUUUUCCAUUCUGGCUGGUUUCUCCCACAUUCAAGUCUUUCAUCCCUUCAGCAUUUCCUUCCUUACCCUAAGUUCCCGUCCUUGUGGAAGCAGUACCAGGCAGGAACAAUGACCAAAAAAUCCUUUUGUUCAAGGACACCUUUAAUACCAAUUGUCCAAUGGGAACAAAAACCACUCUAGUAAACCCAUGCUCCAAAUUAUUGCAGGAUUCAACUACAUGACUUCAAAGGAAACAAAAUGGGAUCUUCAACUCAGAAGGGAAAAAAAAUUAAACAGCUUGAACUAAAUUAUAAUAGCUUCAAGCAUAGAUGAUUAGCUUCCUGCCUCUACAUUCUUUUCUCCUUUACCCCAAUUCAUGAUGCUCCUUUUCUUUUUUUUUUCAUGAUACUCCUUUUCAUUAGAACUAAUAUUCCUGCAACACAUCAGUGUUUCUUAUGUCCAAUAAAAUCAGCCUUUCAAAGUGGUUGUUUUUAACUCCCCACAUAGAGAAGAGCCCAAAGAAAUGUUUCACAUCUUAAGUUUAUUUUAGAGAUUGGAUCAUAUGGUAUUUGCAUUUUGUAAGGUCAACCAGGAUAUGUUAGUUCAUUGUUGGUCUUCUGUGUGUUAGUAUUUGUUUUUUUUUUUUUUUUAC